This 50-nucleotide transfer RNA is filed under the name Camelus knoblochi. Its description in RNAcentral is "partial tRNA-Cys". The record is from RNAcentral. Lineage: Eukaryota; Metazoa; Chordata; Mammalia; Artiodactyla; Camelidae.
AACAUAUUGAAUUGCAAAUUCAAAGAAGCAGCUUCAAACUCUGCCGGGGC